RNAcentral lists this ribosomal RNA (919 nucleotides) under uncultured bacterium. RNAcentral's name for it is "bacterial SSU rRNA". It matches the Rfam family "Bacterial small subunit ribosomal RNA", at positions 33 to 945 of the family's 1533-position model. The record is from RNAcentral.
ACGCUAGCGAUAGGCUUAACACAUGCAAGUCGAGGGGCAGCAUGGUCUUAGCUUGCUAAGACUGAUGGCGACCGGCGCACGGGUGCGUAACGCGUAUGCAACUUGCCUCACAGAGGGGGAUAACCCGUCGAAAGACGGACUAAUACCGCGUACACUCUAUGUUAGGCAUCCAAAGUAGAGGAAAUGAGCUUCGCUGUGAGAUAGGCAUGCGUCCCAUUAGCUAGUUGGUGAGGUAACGGCUCACCAAGGCGACGAUGGGUAGGGGAACUGAGAGGUUGAACCCCCACACUGGUACUGAGACACGGACCAGACCCCUACGGGAGGCAGCAGUGAGGAAUAUUGGUCAAUGGGCGAGAGCCUGAACCAGCCAAGUCGCGUGAAGGAUGACUGUCUUAUGGAUUGUAAACUUCUUUAUACGGGAAUAACAAGAGUCACGUGUGACUCCCUGCAUGUACCGUAUGAAUAAGCAUCGGCUAACUCCGUGCCAGCAGCCGCGGUAAUACGGAGGAUGCGUGCGUUAUCCGGAUUUAUUGGGUUUAAAGGGUGCGUAGGCGGCCUGUUAAGUCAGCGGUGAAAUCUAGGAGCUUAACUCCUAAAUUGCCAUUGAUACUGGCGGGCUUGAGUGUAGAUGAGGUAGGCGGAAUGCGUGGUGUAGCGGUGGAAUGCAUAGAUAUCACGCAGAACUCCGAUUGCGAAGGCAGCUUACUAAGGUACAACUGACGCUGAAGCACGAAAGCGUGGGUAUCAAACAGGAUUAGAUACCCUGGUAGUCCACGCAGUAAACGAUGAUAACUGGGCGUAUGCGAUAUACAGUAUGCUCCUAAGCGAAAGCGUUAAGUUAUCCACCUGGGGAGUACGCCGGCAACGGUGAAACUCAAAGGAAUUGACGGGGGCCCGCACAAGCGGAGGAACAUGUGGU